Molecule: transfer RNA, 73 nt
Filed under: Planctomycetota bacterium
Lineage: Bacteria; Pseudomonadati; Planctomycetota
Description: Planctomycetes bacterium tRNA-Phe
Rfam family: tRNA
About the family: Transfer RNA (tRNA) molecules are approximately 80 nucleotides in length. Their secondary structure includes four short double-helical elements and three loops (D, anti-codon, and T loops).
Source: RNAcentral
GGGUCGAUAGCUCAGUUGGUAGAGCACGGCAUUGAAAAUGCCGGUGUCCCCGGUUCAAGUCCGGGUCGACCCA